UGAACGCUGGCGGCGUGCCUACUACAUGCACGUCGAGCGACCAGACGAGGAGCUUGCUCCUCUGACGUUAGCGGCGGACGGGUGAGUAACACGUGGAUAACCUACCUAUAAGACUGGGAUAACUUCGGGAAACCGGAGCUAAUACCGGAUAAUAUAUUGAACCGCAUGGUUCACUAGUGAAAGACGGUUUUGCUGUCACUUAUAGAUGGAUCCGCGCCGCAUUAGCUAGUUGGUAAGGUAACGGCUUACCAAGGCAACGAUGCGUAGCCGACCUGAGAGGGUGAUCGGCCACACUGGAACUGAGACACGGUCCAGACUCCUACGGGAGGCAGCAGUAGGGAAUCUUCCGCAAUGGGCGAAAGCCUGACGGAGCAACGCCGCGUGAGUGAUGAAGGUCUUCGGAUCGUAAAACUCUGUUAUUAGGGAAGAACAAAUGUGUAAGUAACUAUGCACGUCUUGACGGUACCUAAUCAGAAAGCCACGGCUAACUACGUG
This 495-nucleotide ribosomal RNA is filed under the name uncultured bacterium. Its description in RNAcentral is "partial 16S ribosomal RNA". It matches the Rfam family "Bacterial small subunit ribosomal RNA", at positions 30 to 507 of the family's 1533-position model. The record is from RNAcentral.